UAGGGAAUCUUCGGCAAUGGACGAAAGUCUGACCGAGCAACGCCGCGUGAGUGAAGAAGGUUUUCGGAUCGUAAAACUCUGUUGUUAGAGAAGAACAAGGACGUUAGUAACUGAACGUCCCCUGACGGUAUCUAACCAGCAAGCCACGGCUAACUACGUGCCAGCAGCCGCGGUAAUACGUAGGUGGCAAGCGUUGUCCGGAGUUAUUGGGCGUAUAGCGAGCGCAGGCGGUUUCUUAAGUCUGAUGUGAAAGCCCCCGGCUCAACCGGGGAGGGUCAUUGGAAACUAGGAGACUUGAGUGCAGAAUAGGAGAGUGGAAUUCCAUGUGUAGCGGUGAAAUGCGUAGAUAUAUGGAGGAACACCAGUGGCGAAGGCGGCUCUCUGGACUGUAACUGACGCUGAGGCUCGAAAGCGUGGGGAGCAAACAGG
Molecule: ribosomal RNA, 429 nt
Filed under: Gemmatimonadota bacterium
Lineage: Bacteria; Pseudomonadati; Gemmatimonadota
Description: Gemmatimonadetes bacterium partial 16S ribosomal RNA
Rfam family: Bacterial small subunit ribosomal RNA
Source: RNAcentral